AUGAACGCUGGCGGCGUGCCUAAUACAUGCAAGUCGAGCGAACAGAUGAGGAGCUUGCUCCUCUGACGUUAGCGGCGGACGGGUGAGUAACACGUGGAUAACCUACCUAUAAGACUGGGAUAACUUCGGGAAACCGGAGCUAAUACCGGAUAAUAUAUUGAACCGCAUGGUUCAAUAGUGAAAGACGGUUUUGCUGUCACUUAUAGAUGGAUCCGCGCCGCAUUAGCUAGUUGGUAAGGUAACGGCUUACCAAGGCAACGAUGCGUAGCCGACCUGAGAGGGUGAUCGGCCACACUGGAACUGAGACACGGUCCAGACUCCUACGGGAGGCAGCAGUAGGGAAUCUUCCGCAAUGGGCGAAAGUCUGACGGAGCAACGCCGCGUGAGUGAUGAAGGUCUUCGGAUCGUAAAACUCUGUUAUUAGGGAAGAACAAAUGUGUAAGUAACUAUGCACGUCUUGACGGUACCUAAUCAGAAAGCCACGGCUAGCUACGUG
Molecule: ribosomal RNA, 496 nt
Filed under: uncultured bacterium
Lineage: Bacteria
Description: partial 16S ribosomal RNA
Rfam family: Bacterial small subunit ribosomal RNA
Source: RNAcentral